GCAUCUGAAUCUUUCCCACUCCUUGCGCUAUAGUUCUGGACUGUGGGGACACAUGAUGCAACAGGAAGGCACAGGAAAUCCAGACAAGCUCCCUUUCUCCACAGUGGGACUUGUUUCUACGCCUUUGCAACAUUU
This 135-nucleotide small nucleolar RNA is filed under the name Tyto alba (common barn owl). RNAcentral describes it as "Small nucleolar RNA SNORA55". It matches the Rfam family "Small nucleolar RNA SNORA55". Rfam says of the family: ACA55 is a member of the H/ACA class of snoRNA that guide the sites of modification of uridines to pseudouridines. Lineage: Eukaryota; Metazoa; Chordata; Aves; Strigiformes; Tytonidae. The record is from Rfam by way of RNAcentral.